This is a long non-coding RNA of Eurytemora carolleeae, 359 nucleotides long. RefSeq lists it as uncharacterized. The transcript is spliced from 3 exons. The record is from RefSeq and is a predicted model, not a curated record. Lineage: Eukaryota; Metazoa; Arthropoda; Copepoda; Calanoida; Temoridae.
GAACUAAAACUUAAUAUAAGCUCAAUGUAAGUUAAGUCUACAAGUACUUCCAAGAACAGGAUUUAAAUAUCCUUGCUUUGAUGUGGAUACUAGGAACCUUCUUUGUCUUCUCCUUAAUUGCCAUCCAGGAAUCCAAGGCACAAGAUCCUGCAGGGUUUCUGGAUGAAAAUGGAAAGCUAGCUGAAUCAAAAGUAUUAGGAAGGUAUUCUAGGGAAAUACAGCCAAGCUUACAGGAAGAUCUUAAAAAUGGUGUCUCAAAGAAACCUGAAAGUAAAAGACCUUUAAAAGGAGCAAAUAGAAAAAAUAAGAGUAAUAAAAGAAACAAAAAAACAGGUCAAAAUCUAUCAAAUCAACGGAAG